Cavia aperea (Brazilian guinea pig) is the source of this 278-nucleotide unclassified non-coding RNA. Its record names the gene 7SK. It matches the Rfam family "7SK RNA". Rfam says of the family: 7SK was discovered as an abundant small nuclear RNA in the mid-70s but a possible function has only recently been suggested. Two independent studies have found that 7SK RNA binds the CDK9/cyclin T complex (known as elongation factor P-TEFb). The record is from Ensembl. Lineage: Eukaryota; Metazoa; Chordata; Mammalia; Rodentia; Caviidae.
GGAUUUGAGGGCGAUCUGGCUGCGGCAUCUUUCACCCCAGUUGAUCAUAGGGUUGAUUUGCUGAUCUGGUUAGCUAGGCAGGUCUCCCCUUUCUCCCUAAGUGCCCCAUGUGCAGAAGCUAUGUGCUUGAUCAGAAACGAUGACCACCCUGAUAGAGGAGGCCCAUCCCUCCGUCAAGGUAUACAAGUAGCUGCGUUUCCCUGCUAGAAACUCUAAACAAACUCUAAAGAGAAUCUAUGGAGACACAUAAAAUGUGCCAAAUAAACAGAGGGGGUCCU